GUCAGCAGCCAUAUCACCCUGCAACUCACAACUGGCAACCCACUGAAGCUAAGCAGGUAUGAGCCUGGUCAGUACCUGGAUGUGAGACCUCCUGGGAAAAACUAAGGUUGCUGCUGGAA
This is a ribosomal RNA of Lepisosteus oculatus (spotted gar), 119 nucleotides long. The record is from Ensembl. NCBI's taxonomy places the organism in Eukaryota, Metazoa, Chordata, Actinopteri, Semionotiformes, Lepisosteidae.